RNAcentral lists this RNase P RNA (375 nucleotides) under Sphingomonas colocasiae. RNAcentral describes it as "RNase P RNA component class A". It matches the Rfam family "Bacterial RNase P class A". Rfam says of the family: Ribonuclease P (RNase P) is a ubiquitous endoribonuclease, found in archaea, bacteria and eukarya as well as chloroplasts and mitochondria. Its best characterised activity is the generation of mature 5'-ends of tRNAs by cleaving the 5'-leader elements of precursor-tRNAs. Cellular RNase Ps are ribonucleoproteins. The record is from RNAcentral. Lineage: Bacteria; Pseudomonadati; Pseudomonadota; Alphaproteobacteria; Sphingomonadales; Sphingomonadaceae.
CCAGAGGGCCGGGCGGCCGCGGCCUCGUCGCAAGACGGGGGCGAGGAAAGUCCGGGCUCCACGGAAUGACGGUGCCGGGUAACGCCCGGCGGGGGCGACCCCAGGGACAGUGCCACAGAGAGCAGACCGCCCCGCGCCUCGGCACGGGGUAAGGGUGAAAGGGUGCGGUAAGAGCGCACCGCGCGGCCGGUAACGGAAGCGGCAUGGUAAACCCCACCGGGAGCAAGACCGAAUAGGGACGGCAUAUGGCCUCAUUCCGGCCGGUCGUCCGGGUUGGUUGCUUGACCCCCGAUGCGAAUCGGGGGCUAGAGGAAUGGUCGCCCAGUCCCGGUUCGCCGGGACGGACAGAACCCGGCUUACAGGCCCUCUGGCACU